This 330-nucleotide ribosomal RNA is filed under the name Triticum aestivum (bread wheat). RNAcentral's name for it is "partial small subunit ribosomal RNA". The record is from RNAcentral. Lineage: Eukaryota; Viridiplantae; Streptophyta; Magnoliopsida; Poales; Poaceae.
CUAGAAUCUAGAGAUCACCUCUUCUUCAACUGCAGAUUUACAAAACACUGUUGGAAAUACAUAUGCCCAAAUUGGAUACCGGCAAAUGAGGAUAUCCAAGUACACAUUUCCAGGCUACGCGCUCAUAUCAAUUUACCAUUUGCUAUGGAUAUUAUCAUUCAUGUUUCUUGGGCAAUAUGGAACACAAGAAAUGACUUUAUCUUGAAGAACAUACCCCCAAGCCUCUAUGCCUGCAGGAAAAGAAUGACAAAUGAAAUCCAAUGGCUGGUUCAUACAGCAACGCGCAAAUCCUUCGCCGCUCUGCUACAAUGGGUGAAGGAGUUCAGAUGA